This 381-nucleotide unclassified non-coding RNA is filed under the name Zea mays. RNAcentral's name for it is "misc RNA Zm00001eb098440". The record is from RNAcentral. Lineage: Eukaryota; Viridiplantae; Streptophyta; Magnoliopsida; Poales; Poaceae.
UUGCUGCAGCCGUGGGAAGAAAAUCUCCCUGCUGCCGAGCGCCGUGAAGAAGGGGACUCGGCUGAAACAGGCCUGCGCGAGGGAGGAGCAGGGAGGAAGGGCGCUGCAAUGAGAUGUGAGCGGCUGCUCGAGCUUCGCCGGCGCCAUGGGAGGAGCACGUCGUCCAUGCUUGCUGCCGUGAAGCAGGGAGGAAGAAGACCUGCUCACCGGCCUAGGGGAGAAGGGCAUCGCCGAGCAGGACCAGGGGGACGGCGACCGGAUGUGGGGAAGAAGGACCCUGCUGCUGCGCCAUGGAGCAAGCAGGAGAGAGUUGUGCGUGUGGGAGAGGAGGAAGAAGAGAGCGGCGGCUGGAAAAAGUGGAGGGGUGGGAAUGCAAAAUGA